This 873-nucleotide unclassified non-coding RNA is filed under the name Hevea brasiliensis (rubber tree). The record is from RNAcentral. Lineage: Eukaryota; Viridiplantae; Streptophyta; Magnoliopsida; Malpighiales; Euphorbiaceae.
AGUUAUCAUCUCUCCUACUGCCACGUUCAUAGUCUGAGUCAUAACUAUAUCUACUGUACUCAUAGUCUCUUUCACGGCUAUCCUCUCUGUUGGGGUGAGCCAUACGAUGUUUGUAGUCAUAAUCAUCAUAUGGGUCGUCAUGCUCCCGUCCCACGUACCUAGCAGGCGGCUUCUCAUGCCUCCUGGAAUCCCUCUCCACAGGGUACACUUCUUCAUAACUUCUCCUCCUUGUCUGAGGCCAGUGUCCAACUGCUGCUGGUGGAUGAGGGUAGUGCUCUCCAUCCAGUAUAUCACGGUGAUAGGCACCCCGGGGAUAAACACCAUCCCUUGAAAAUCUAUCGUCUAGAAACCUCCUAUCAUCAAAAGAACCACCAGCCCGGAAAUCUGGCUCGUGAACUCCUCUAUAACCCUCCAAAGCCUGUGGAUUCAAGAGAAUAAGUUGUGUCAGCAAGUUAAAAUCAUGGAUGGAAGUUUAGGCAAACCAUUCCACAUCCUCACUCUCCCAUGGCUUUCAUUCAUUGUUCUUUAAGAGAUGCCGGAAAAAGUUUUGGACAAUCACAUGACCCUAGUUUCUUGUAUAUCAUCCAUUAUGUGAUUAAGAAAGGAACCACAAUUACGCUGUUAUUUUCCCAUCCUUGAUGGGGGCCAUAUCGACCAGGAUCCAUUUCUUGCAAGAGCCACCGGUGUUAUUCCUGCAGAACUCUUGAUGUUCUUUUUUGAAGUAUCAGCUGCAAGAUGACUGUAAGGCUUUCAACUCAGUUUUUAAAUAUGAUCGCCGAUAAUUCGCCGGAGAUUGAGAUGCUAAUGGAGCAAAGCUUUCGCCGCCGAUGUAAAAAGCUGUUCGGUCCAAAUGUGAAACUCGAUAGAAAAACA